UAUUCGUUCUUUCGUUCUCAAACCGUCGUCAAGACUAGAAGGAAAAUGAGAGCUAAGUGGCGUAAGAAGCGUAUGCGUAGGUUGAAGCGUAAGCGCAGGAAGAUGCGUGCACGUUCCAAGUAAGCUGUGCCCAGCCAUCGACCGCUAAUGGAACUUUUUGACACUACAACAACACCAAGUCCGUAAAGAGCAUGCCGUUUUAAGCCAAAUCACGAAUUUUCGCCCUCUACUUUUGACAUGAGAGAAAGGGACGCGAAAGGGCGGGAUCUGGCCCACGUAAUUUUCCACACAAAAAAAAUACACGAAGAAAUCUGCAUUUAAAAACGCAAAAUUUCUUGUUGAAGUUUUCUUCUAAAUAAAUUACUGGAGUUUCUUAACAAAAUGUUCCCCAUGAAAAAAAAAA
This 403-nucleotide small RNA is filed under the name Drosophila willistoni. RNAcentral's name for it is "GK26868". Lineage: Eukaryota; Metazoa; Arthropoda; Insecta; Diptera; Drosophilidae. The record is from RNAcentral.